Molecule: non-coding RNA, 76 nt
Organism: Thiobacillus sp. SCN 63-57
Lineage: Bacteria; Pseudomonadati; Pseudomonadota; Betaproteobacteria; Nitrosomonadales; Thiobacillaceae
Source: Rfam
AUGUACUUGCCUGUACAUUCCGGUUCCUGCGCGCCGUGCGCCUUGCCCAGUGUCCGCUCGCUACGGUUCUUCAGCC